AGCAGCCGCGGUAAUUCCAGCUCCAAUAGCGUAUAUUAAAGUUGUUGCAGUUAAAAAGCUCGUAGUUGAAUUUCGGGGUUAGCAAGUUGGUCGUGCCACUGGUAUGUACUGGCUUUGCUGAUUCCUCCUUCUUGUAGAACCGUAAUGCCAUUUAGUUGGUGUUGCGGGGAAACAGGACUGUUACUUUGAAAAAAUUAGAGUGUUUAAAGCAGGCUAACGCCUGAAUACAUUAGCAUGGAAUAAUGAAAUAGGACGAGCGAUCCUAUUUUGUUGGUUUCUAGGAUUGACGUAAUGAUUAAUAGGGAUAGUUGGGGGCAUUAGUAUUCAAUUGUCAGAGGUGAAAUUCUUGGAUUUAUUGAAGACUGACUACUGCGAAAGCAUUUGCCAAGGAUGUUUUCAUUAAUCAAGAACGAAAGUUAGGGGAUCGAAGACGAUCAGAUACCGUCGUAGUCUUAACCAUAAACUAUGCCCGACUAGGGAUCGGAUGAUGUUAAUUUUUUAAUGACUCA
This 509-nucleotide ribosomal RNA is filed under the name Glomus sp. Glo30. RNAcentral's name for it is "SSU rRNA". It matches the Rfam family "Eukaryotic small subunit ribosomal RNA", at positions 569 to 1078 of the family's 1831-position model. The record is from RNAcentral. Lineage: Eukaryota; Fungi; Glomeromycota; Glomeromycetes; Glomerales; Glomeraceae.